AUUGAACGCUGGCGGCAGGCCUAACACAUGCAAGUCGAGCGGAUGAAGGGAGCUUGCUCCUGUAUUCAGCGGCGGACGGGUGAGUAAUGCCUAGGAAUCUUCCUGGUAGUGGGGGAUAACGUCCGUAAACGGGCGCUAAUACCUCAUACGUCCUGAGGGAGAAAGUGGGGGAUCUUCGGACCUCACGCUAUCAGAUGAGCCUAGGUCGGAUUAGCUAGUUGGUGGGGUAAAGGCCUACCAAGGCGACGAUCCGUAACUGGUCUGAGAGGAUGAUCAGUCACACUAGAACGGUGACACGGUCCAGCCUACAACGGGAGGCAGCAGUGGGGAAUAUUGGAACAUGGGCGAAAGCCUGAUACAGCCAUGCCGCGUGUGUGAAGAGGGUCUUCGGAUUGUAAAGCACUUUAAGUUGGGAGGAAGGGCAGUAAGUUAAUACCUUGCUGUUUUGACGUUACCAACAGAAUAAGCACCGGCUAACUUCGUG
This 484-nucleotide ribosomal RNA is filed under the name uncultured bacterium. RNAcentral describes it as "partial 16S ribosomal RNA". It matches the Rfam family "Bacterial small subunit ribosomal RNA", at positions 30 to 507 of the family's 1533-position model. The record is from RNAcentral.